AGGCUUUGAUCCUGGCUCAGGAUGAACGCUGGCGGCGUGCUUAACACAUGCAAGUCGAACGAACCUUCGGGUUAGUGGCGGACGGGUGAGUAACGCGUGAGAAUCUGCCCUCAGGAGGGGGAUAACGGCUGGAAACGGCCGCUAAUACCCCAUAUGCCGAGAGGUGAAACGAAUUUCGCCUGAGGAUGAGCUCGCGUCUGAUUAGCUAGUUGGUGGGGUAAAGGCCUACCAAGGCGACGAUCAGUAGCUGGUCUGAGAGGAUGAUCAGCCACACUGGGACUGAGACACGGCCCAGACUCCUACGGGAGGCAGCAGUGGGGAAUUUUCCGCAAUGGGCGAAAGCCUGACGGAGCAACGCCGCGUGAGGGAUGAAGGCCUCUGGGCUGUAAACCUCUUUUCUACAAGGAAGAAGAUCUGACGGUACUUGAGGAAUAAGCCACGGGUAUAUCCGUG
RNAcentral lists this ribosomal RNA (453 nucleotides) under uncultured Synechococcus sp. Its description in RNAcentral is "bacterial SSU rRNA". It matches the Rfam family "Bacterial small subunit ribosomal RNA", at positions 8 to 507 of the family's 1533-position model. The record is from RNAcentral. Lineage: Bacteria; Bacillati; Cyanobacteriota; Cyanophyceae; Synechococcales; Synechococcaceae.